GUGAAGUGAUGGCCCUGAAUGGGGGUUCCAACAUAGGAAGCCCCUUUUCUCCAGGCCCUCAAAUUGACAAAGGACCACAAAUUUACCAUUUGACAUUAUAUCUCCAUGAGGUUGUCUAAAAAAAUAUUCUGUUGAUGUGAUCUGGUAAAAUACAGGAAGUGCCCAGAUGAAAACUUGAAGAAUGGUGGUGAACUGCUUGGGAGAGAUUCCAGGAGAGAAUUGCAAAUGCCAUUUAAGAAAUGAAAGGAUGCAGCACCCUUGAUGCUCUGUGACCUUGGCCAUGUCACUUAACUUCCCUCCGCUUCAAUGUCUUCAUCUACAAACCAGGAAUAAUAGUAUAUAUCACAAAAUGUAUCUAAGAUACAAAUGAGACACUGUGAAGUCCUUGGCACAGACUUAUAAAAGAAGUAGAACACACAUGCUUCCCAUUAGGUGAGAAAGAAACAUGCCUGAGAGUCUAAUGGAUUACUCAAGUCUGUGCUGCCAAGGAAGAACAGAAUCUUUAGGUCUUCUGUGCAAAGUUGUGUCCACCCCCAAAGUCUGAAGUGGCUCCAUUCACAAACUUACAUGGAAUUUGGACUUGGCCAUCUUUCCUUUCAAGAAUAUAUGAUAAAAUCAUGCUUCCCGUUCAAGAGGUUCACUCUGGGUAUAGACGGCAUUUCUGAAAACAUGGCAUUGACUGACAUUAUUGACAGUGGACUGGGAAUGGAAAGAUCAGAGUUCUUUGCAUGGCUGAGCAUCUUACUUUUCCUUGAUCUUGGGAAGGAAGGCGCCUUCUCUGAUGGAGAUUAUCUGUCAGUGAAACUAGAUUUUUAAGUUGCAGCCCUGGGCUUAUGGUGAAUUGGCAAGCACGUGUGAGAAAGAUCAUGUUGUCUUAAGCAACUUUGAUUCCAAGAGAAGAAGAGUAAUAUGAGUACUCCAGUCCAGUCACCUGAUGAGAGAUUCCUGAAGGGAGAACUUGCAUCUUCAAAGCGUUGGAGGUAGAAGGAAGACAGGCAGAAGGACAUCCCAGAAUCAACCCAGAAUGUGGUGGAAGUGACUGCAUCAACCCUGAGCCGACACACCCAGAAGCCUUGCAGACUUCUACUUCCUGCCUUGGAAUCCUGACAAGCCACUACUUAAGCAAAUGUGAGCUACCCUUUUAGUGGUGGUUACAUGGGAUUAGAUGAGAUACAUGGGGCCCGGAUUCCUGAUUGCCCCACUUGACAGCUGAGAAACACCUGGGAGCAGGGCUGCCCAGCUAACAUCUGCUGACUGCAGAUGAAUGAACAAGCCCAGCCAGAUAGAGAAGAAACAGUCAGCUGGGCCAUAAACAAUGUUUUGUAAUAAUCGUUUAUUUAUAUGGUUUACAUUUUGUUUAACUCUCAUUUUUUAAUGGGAAUAGGACUUUUUUAUUGUGGUAAAAUGUACAUAAUGAAAAUUUACCAUUUUAACUAUUUUAGCUGUACAAUUCAGUGGCAUUCAAUGUUGUGCAAUGCUCACAACUACUUCCAACUUUUUUCAUUAUUCCAAACAGAAACUCUAUGCCAUUAAGCAAUAACUUUUGAUUCUUCCCAUCCCCAGCUCUUGGUAAUCUCGAUUCUACUUUCUGCCUAUAUGAAUUUGCCUAUUUUAGACACCCCACAUAAGUAGAAUCAUACAAUAUUUGUUCUUUUGUAUUUGACUUACUUUACUUGGCAUAUUUUCAAGGUUCAUCAUGUUGUAUUAUGUAUUAGACUUUUAUUUCUACUUAUGGCCGAAUAUCAUCCUGUGGUAGAUAGA
RNAcentral lists this long non-coding RNA (1761 nucleotides) under Homo sapiens (human). RNAcentral's name for it is "HSALNT0350270". Lineage: Eukaryota; Metazoa; Chordata; Mammalia; Primates; Hominidae. The record is from RNAcentral.